GUGCCAGCAGCCGCGGUAAUACAGAGGGUGCGAGCGUUGUUCGGAAUUACUGGGCGUAAAGCGCGCGCAGGCGGCCUUUUAAGUCUGCUGGUGAAAUGCCGGGGCUCAACCCCGUGCCCGCCACAGAUACUGGGAGGCUGGAGACGAGUAGAGGCAAGCGGAAUUCCGGGUGUAGCGGUGGAAUGCGUAGAGAUCCGGAAGAACACCGGAGGCGAAGGCGGCUUGCUGGGCUCGGUCUGACGCUGAGGCGCGAAAGCGUGGGGAGCGAACAGGAUUAGAAACCCGGGUAGUCC
Molecule: ribosomal RNA, 293 nt
Filed under: uncultured bacterium
Lineage: Bacteria
Description: partial 16S ribosomal RNA
Rfam family: Bacterial small subunit ribosomal RNA
Source: RNAcentral